UUAGGAGAGUCCAUCGCCAUGGUCAGGCAAUGGAAUGGCCUUUCCCAGGAGCUCUAAGGGGACAGUGACUUACGUUCAGCAAGAAGGCAACAUUCCCACCAAGGUUCUUCACUUCAGCCUCUAGAUGGUCCUUCAGAGCACCAGAUCCAGGAGCACAGGUCUCCAAAAGCCGUCUGACACAGACUGCUAGCUGAUCUAUUGUGGAGGAAACCUUGAUGAUGAGGUAGCUGGACGAAACCUGGAGAGCAGUCGAACAGACAUGUUCUACGUUGAGAAGGACUGAAAAGGGGGGAAGAAAAAGUCACCCCAAGGAGAGAACUGGGUCUGAACAUCCCCGACCCCAAAUAAGCAAUUGAAUCAACUGAUUGUCAACAUUAUUGUGUAUAAAAGUGUCUCAAGUCAAGUCUUCUAUGAAGAAGGCCUUUAAUGUCGUGAACUUUGUCCUUGGAGAUAUGGACACGGGUUAUGGCGAUGAAUGUGUGAAUGCAUAAAUGUGUAGAAAAUUGUAAUUGAACUAUAGUGCAACUGCAGCAACACCUCACAGCUGCGUACAGAGGCAGUUGGGCAGGUGUCCCUGGCCAGAUGUUUUGUAUGAAACCCACUCCAAGCACCUAGCAUUGUCCAGCCAAGAAGAGAGAAUGGCUGAUAAAAAGUUCAGUUGUUCCAAUAUUUUCCCAUUAAAAGAAAACCCCAGUCUGGGAAACCCCCCUGCUCUGUGUACCCAUAAACUACCAGAGUUAAGGAAAAGCCCACUGCAAGCCCAGUAAAAGGGAAGGAAUUUAAGUGAAGGCUACCCAGAAAUGGAGGGCCAGCAUCUAAGCUAGGGCUUGUCUGACGUGCUGGAUCUCUGUAGGGCAGAGGGCAUGCUGGGAAGCUGUUUGCAGUAGGAAAUGGAAUUUAGCCAAUAAAAGAGUGCAAACUCAGGUGUUAUGCCUUUAUAUUCA
Long non-coding RNA from Chelonia mydas (Green sea turtle), 944 nucleotides. RefSeq lists it as uncharacterized. The record is from RefSeq and is a predicted model, not a curated record. NCBI's taxonomy places the organism in Eukaryota, Metazoa, Chordata, Testudines, Cheloniidae. The transcript is spliced from 2 exons.